This is an RNA transcript of Prionailurus viverrinus (fishing cat), 4412 nucleotides long. It is a transcript of the gene named xylulokinase, with no coding region annotated. The transcript has 21 exons. Lineage: Eukaryota; Metazoa; Chordata; Mammalia; Carnivora; Felidae. The record is from RefSeq and is a predicted model, not a curated record.
CUGGAGCGCGGCGACACUCACGCCGCGGGAAGGACGGACGGACGGACGCGCCGCCGCCCCCUCCGCAGCCAUGGCCGAGCACGCCGCCCGCCGCUGCUGCCUCGGCUGGGACUUCAGCACGCAGCAGGUGAAAGUUGUUGCUGUUGACGCAGAGCUGAAUGUGUUCUAUGAGGACAGUGUGCAUUUUGACAGAGACCUUCUAGAAUUCGGGACUCAGGGUGGAGUUCACGUUCACGAGGAUGGGCUGACAGUGACAUCUCCAGUCCUGAUGUGGGUCCGGGCUUUGGAUAUCAUCUUGGAGAGGAUGAAGGCCUCGGGCUUUGACUUCUCUCAAGUCCUCGCCCUGUCUGGGGCCGGCCAGCAACAUGGAAGUGUAUACUGGAAGGCUGGGGCCAGCCAGGUGCUGAGAAGCCUGUCACCAGACCUCCCGUUACAUAAGCAGCUGCAGGCUUGUUUCUCCAUCAGCGACAGCCCGGUGUGGAUGGACUCCAGCACCACAGACCAGUGUCGCCAGCUGGAGGCCGCGGUGGGCGGCGCCCAGGCUCUCAGCUGCCUCACAGGCUCCCGGGCCUACGAGCGAUUUACGGGAAACCAGAUCGCGAAGAUUUACCAGCAGAACCCCGAGGCCUACUCACACACGGAGAGAAUUUCUUUGGUCAGUAGCUUUGCUGCCUCCCUGUUCCUUGGGUCUUACUCUCCUAUCGACUGCAGUGAUGGUUCUGGAAUGAAUUUGUUGCAGAUCAAGGACAAAGUCUGGUCGCGGGUCUGCCUUGCUGCCUGUGCUCCUCAUUUAGAGGAGAAGCUUGGUUCACCGGUACCGUCCUGCUCAGUUGUGGGAGUCAUUUCUUCCUACUACGUCCAGCGCUAUGGAUUUCCUCCAGGAUGCCAAGUGGUGGCCUUUACUGGGGACAACCCUGCGUCGCUGGCAGGCAUGAGGCUGGAGGAAGGUGACAUUGCGGUCAGCCUGGGCACCAGCGACACCCUAUUUCUCUGGCUCCAGGAGCCCAUGCCCGCCCUGGAAGGGCACAUCUUCUGCAACCCCGUUGGCUCCCAGCACUACAUGGCACUCCUCUGCUUUAAAAAUGGCUCCCUCAUGAGAGAGAAGAUCCGUGAUGAGUCAGCUGCCUGUUCCUGGAGUGAGUUCUCUGAGGCACUGCGGUCCACGGAGAUGGGGAACGGCGGGAACCUGGGUUUUUAUUUUGACGUAAUGGAGAUCACCCCUGAAAUUAUUGGGCGCCAUAGGUUUAGUGCAGAAAACCGCAAGGUCCCAGCAUUCCCCAGGGAUGUGGAGAUCCGAGCACUGAUUGAAGGGCAGUUCAUGGCCAAGAGGAUUCAUGCCGAGGGCUUGGGCUACCGAGUCAUGCCCAAGACAAAGAUUUUGGCCACUGGAGGGGCAUCUCACAACAGAGACAUCUUACAGGUACUUGCGGAUGUGUUUGGCGCCCCAGUGUAUGUCAUAGACACUGCCAACUCUGCCUGUGUGGGCUCUGCGUACCGAGCUUUCCAUGGCCUUGCAGCUGGAACAGACGUGCCCUUUUCAGAGGUUGUGAAGUUAGCCCCACCUCCCAGAUUAGCUGCUACCCCAACCCCAGGAGCUUCUCAGGUCUACGAGGCCCUCCUUCCUCGAUACGCCAAGCUUGAGCAGAGAAUCCUGUCGCAGACCCAGGGGCCUCCUGAGAGAAUUCCUCAGGCCCAGGCACCCCUGUUAACCCUGCCUGCUCAGACUCACUGAUCCCGCCUCGAGACGUGCUCCUGGACAGCAGGGAUCCUCCUCCUUGUUCUAAGUGACUGUGCCUGCCCACCUUGCACUGCUCCAGUCCUGCCCCGGACCACCUAAACCCAGGGGACUUUUAUGUACAGGGACUUAAAUCAGCAGAACGGGGGAAAACAAAGCCAUCCCUCAUCCCUUGACCCCAGCACCCCCUUCUCCAACUCGGACUCUUUGGCCACUCCUCCCCAAACUGCAACCCACAGCCACCCCCACCCCGUAUCGUGACCCCGCUAUCCCAUUUCACCACCCCCCCAACCCUGACUCCCUUCUUUCAGUGUCUGAAUGGCCUCCUAGUUUCUUGCUUUCUUGUCUUCCCCUUGCUCACUCCUCCUUCAAGGUUUCUCCCUUCUGUCCUUCCAGCAUCUGCCCCUCAUCCUACGUGAUCUCUUCUUCCUCCCCAUGCCUACCUGCUGAAACUCACUACCUCCCACCCAAAGAGUUUGACGGACCUGAUGACCGUGCUUCCUGUCCCCUCCCAUCAGCUCUCCCCACUGGUUGCCUGACUCCCUGGCACACCAGACCACUUGGAGGGCCCCUCUUCCAGGUAGUACAGGGUAGCACCUCCCUCCCUCCGUCCCUUCCUUCGGGGAGAAUUUCUCAGAUUCUGGAUUUUUUUAUUCUAUUUCUGUAGUGUCGUUUGACAUGUUCUCUAUCUUCUAUAUUUCCUAAAGAUUGGUGGUUGGAUCCGAUACAGAGUUCCUCACCCUCAGUACUAUUGACAUUUGGGACUGGAUAAGUUUUGGGUGUGGGGGGCAGCAGUAUCCCUGGCGUCUGCCCGCCAGAUGCCAGUGUCACCCUCUCCCCGAGCCGUGACAAUCCAGAAUGUCUCCAGACGUGGCCAGAUACCUCCCGGUGGGGAUGGGGAGGCCAAAUUGCCCCUCGUUCGUAACCACUGACUUAAGAGACUCGAUCAGACACGAUGCAAUUUUCCUUUUUGUGUCAGACAACCAAGACGGUGUUCUUCCAUCAGGAGGCACGUAAUGUCUGGUUUUCUCUCACUGUCGUGAUGUUCAUCCCCACCUCCAUCAGCUCACUAGGGAUCAGCUCACUAGUUUUGGUAGUCCUCUUCAUUUAUGACCUGGCAUUCUUCUAUGUGAGACAUUUCCCAUCCAGGUGCCCCGUGGUGGUGUUUAUAUAGGAGAGGCCGAAUGAAUAGAUUCUUCCCGGUGUUCACUAGUGUUCAAAAUAAUGGGUUAAUCCCCAGGCAUCCUCUAACAGCAGCUAGGUAUUUUUUUCAGUGUCAAUCUGAUGCAUUUAGCAUAUUUUAUGUGUCUUAAUCCAUUGGGGUAAUUAUUUCUGUCCUUGCCUUCUGUUGUUAGCCAUUCUCUCCAGCUCUUCUGCUUUCCUGACGUUUCAUUCCUUCUUUCCUUACUGAUACUUCUGCUCUGUUUACCCCUUCAUUCCUGCCGGGCCCCAAAUCUCUGUCCUCAUCCUUCUUUCUCACCCAUUCUGUCCUCUGGUUAGAUGAUUUCAUCUAUUCUUGGGUUUCAACCACCGUUUCCAUACCAGGAACAUCCAGAUCUGUUUCCAUCCAGAACUCUGCUUGGAGUCUACCAGCAUUCUCACAGGGGUACUUCAGACUCCACUUGUCUUCCCUUGCCCUUCCCCCAACCUCCUCCUCUCAUGUUGCUGUUUCAGUGAACUGGAAUCACCAUGCACCCAUGCAUUCAGGAACCCAACCCCCAAAUGCAGAUAUCCUCUCUCUUUCCCACGUCAGAUGAGUCACCAGCGGACUCUAAUGACUCUCCCUUGCUGACUUGGAUGAAGUAAGCUGUCCUAUGGAGAGACCCACAUGGCAGGGAAGUGAGGGCAGUUUCUGGCCAAUAACCAUUCAAUAGUUGAGGCCCUCAGUCCAGCAAUUAACAAGGAGCUGGAUCCUGCUAACAACCACAUGACUUCCCUAGUCAAGCCUCAAAUGAGACCCCCAACUCUGGCCAACAUCUUGAUUAUAGCCUUGUGAGAGGUUCUGACGCAGAGGACCAGAGGACUCAGUUGCUCUGUGAGGAUUUUGGAAGAUUCGAAAACUAUACCACCACCAGCCUAGCCACCACUUUCCUGGAAUCUGGUAGAAGUUUUAAGAGCCUGAAUAUAAUUUACCAUGCUCUUGCCUUCUGUCUCUGCAAUAAUAGAAGCAUGUGUCAAAAUGUAGCCUACAUUAGCUCGUGUCCCUGAGUUAUUACAAUGAGUAGAAUUUGCUUGGUGACUCACCAUGGACAGGUAGCACGAGCGAAAAAUAAAUUUGGUUGUUUUAAGCCAUCGAGAUUUGGACAUUUUCCGUUACCGCUGCAUAAUCAAAUCUAUUUUGAGAGACCUUUCUACCCAACCCAAUGAAUUUAGUUGCUUUCAAGAUGGCCACCAUAAGUUAAGAAAGAGAGAAUGGGGAGAAGUAUGAAGAGAAGGGGGAAAAGAAAUAAAAACAGUUGGAGAGUUGUCGAAGUCACUUUUAAUGUUGAUGGCACAUAGGAUAGAUUGGAAAUAAACAGAUGGCUUACUAAGGUUUGGUUCACCCCCAUUAUAUAGAGUGGGGUUCACCCCCAUUAUAUAGAGUGAAUAGUACCCUCUGAAAUCUUUUAAUGUGGUACUGCUGUAACUAAAUUACCCACUAAUAUGUUCUAGUAUAUAUUACCCUAUAUCUCUCAUA